GAUGAAGAACGCAGCGAAAUGCGAUAACUAAUGUGAAUUGCAGAAUUCAGUGAAUCAUCGAGUCUUUGAACGCACAUUGCGCCCCCUGGUAUUCCGGGGGGCAUGCCUGUCCGAGCGUCAUUGCUGCCCUCAAGCACGGCUUGUGUGUUGGGCCUCCGUCCUCCUCCCGGGGGACGGGCCCGAAAAGCAGCGGCGGCACCGCGUCCGGUCCUCGAGCGUAUGGGGCUUCGUCACCCGCUCUUGUAGGCCCGGCCGGCGCUUGCCGACACAUCAAUCUUUUUUCCAGGUUGACCUCGGAUCAGGUAGGGAUACCCGCUGAACUUAAGCAUAUCAAUAAGCGGAGGA
This 345-nucleotide unclassified non-coding RNA is filed under the name soil metagenome. RNAcentral describes it as "partial contains 5.8S ribosomal RNA, internal transcribed spacer 2, and large subunit ribosomal RNA". The stretch from base 1 to 120 matches the Rfam family "5.8S ribosomal RNA", at positions 35 to 154 of the family's 154-position model. The record is from RNAcentral.